RNAcentral lists this ribosomal RNA (233 nucleotides) under uncultured bacterium. RNAcentral's name for it is "partial 16S ribosomal RNA". It matches the Rfam family "Bacterial small subunit ribosomal RNA", at positions 103 to 334 of the family's 1533-position model. The record is from RNAcentral.
CGGGUGAGUAACGCGUGAGGAACCUGCCUCAAAGAGGGGGGAAACAGUUGGAAACGACUGCUAAUACCGCAUAAGCCCACGGCUCGGCAUCGAGCAGAGGGAAAAGGAGUGAUCCGCUUUGAGAUGGCCUCGCGUCCGAUUAGCUAGUUGGUGAGGUAACGGCCCACCAAGGCAACGAUCGGUAGCCGGACUGAGAGGUUGAACGGCCACAUUGGGACUGAGAUACGGCCCAG